This 575-nucleotide long non-coding RNA is filed under the name Homo sapiens (human). Its description in RNAcentral is "HSALNT0318772". Lineage: Eukaryota; Metazoa; Chordata; Mammalia; Primates; Hominidae. The record is from RNAcentral.
CCGUUUUUUGAAGGCUUAUACAAAAUAGUUUCCUGCAAACUCAAGUGGCUGGGAAGCCCAGCUGAAGGUUACUUCUACCCCAAGGCCAUGUCAGCAGAAAGUGGCCAACAGGACUUGGGCCUGAAAAAGCUCAGACUGAAUUUUAGGAGUGACAUCUGAAACUGCUGGUUUCUCACAAGGAAUAAAAGCUGUCUGGGAAGCUGGAGAGGCAGUGUGCUGUCUGGAGCAGGGACUUGCAAAUGGGAACAGUGAAGAGAGACAGCAUCUCCUUCCUCUGAAGAUUCUGUUCAGAAUGGAUAAAGGUUCAGCAUCCUCCCUGGAUGGGGCAGCUUAGCAGAUUAAGACAACUGAGGUUAAGGGCCUGACUCCAGAUCACACAGCAAGGGAGAUGGCAAAAUCAAGAUUUCAACCCAGGAAACCUGCCUCCCAUGCCUAUGUUAAUCACUACACCCUUCCCACAAUAAAUAAUCAAAUAAGCUAUUAAGUUGUUAAUUAAUUUGCAGUGGAUAACAUGGUGUGGCCCCCACUUCUGGGUCUUCUGACUUAUAUCUGUGAAAGAUAGAUGAAGGUUCAAA